ACACUCUUGUUCCUUUUCAGACCGUAUAAAUCUUUCGCCUUUUACUAAAGAUUUCCGUGGGGAGGAACAGCAAGAGUUUGAGUCAAUUUUUGAAGUUCUGCUAAGCAGACCU
Nerophis lumbriciformis (worm pipefish) is the source of this 112-nucleotide non-coding RNA. The record is from RefSeq and is a predicted model, not a curated record. NCBI's taxonomy places the organism in Eukaryota, Metazoa, Chordata, Actinopteri, Syngnathiformes, Syngnathidae.